This 625-nucleotide long non-coding RNA is filed under the name Coffea arabica (coffee). RNAcentral describes it as "long non-coding RNA (CARA_LNC005478)". The record is from RNAcentral. Lineage: Eukaryota; Viridiplantae; Streptophyta; Magnoliopsida; Gentianales; Rubiaceae.
AUAAAUCAGUCCAAUCGACACAUAGAGCCUGUAUAUUCUAAAACCAUAAACAAUCAACAAGAAAAUUGCACUAACAGAGACACGGAAAACAUGCUUUGGAAGCUCAGACGUUUGUGCUCGAAUGGAAACUGAAAUUCAAAGGGGGAAGACAACUUACAAGGCUUUCUUGGUGAAAUUCGCAAGCGGCAAUGGAUAUCCGAUGAAGUGGUGACGGCUCGGUGAGUUGGAAAUCUCCGCUGCUGUUGCUGCUCAAACCAUCCACGGAAGAGGAGCAGGUGGAGAAGAAGUUGAUGAGAGUCUCGACAUCGUAGCUGUUCUUGUCCUUUUCACCGAGAACAGAAAGGUUGCUGAGGAUGAGUUCUUUGGGCUUGGCGCGGACAGAGACGGCGGUAAAGGGGAAGGGCUGUGGUGGAGGCGUUGGCAAAAAAGGCUUGUAUUGGAAGCGGGGAAGAGCAAAACGGGAAAUGAGGGGUUUUGUGGAGGAGUCGUUUGGGGAAAUUGGGGGGAAUUUGAGGACGAAGGGUGGAAAGAGAGUGGUGGCAGCCGGCAGCCGGUUGAGGUGGUGGGAAAUUUGGCAGUGGUGAUUGGAAAAAAUUUUUAUCGGAUGAUUGAAGCUGAAGCUCCC